This is a long non-coding RNA of Zalophus californianus (California sea lion), 1644 nucleotides long. RefSeq lists it as uncharacterized. The transcript has 3 exons. NCBI's taxonomy places the organism in Eukaryota, Metazoa, Chordata, Mammalia, Carnivora, Otariidae. The record is from RefSeq and is a predicted model, not a curated record.
CUCCUGCAGAUGCUGUGCUCGGCAAACUCCUUCCCCAGCUUGGGGGCCGCGUGCAUGCCUGGCCAGGCCUCCCAUCUUGGCAGUAACCCCACAUCUGUGCUGGACUUCUGAAGGCCACGCUGCUCUGGCUCUCUAAUGACAGGGGUAGGAGACCUGCAUUGCGUCUGCCAGCUCUGAGCCCAGGGGUAGGGGGGCUCCCGAAAGGAUGAGACUGCCAGGUCCCCGGGAGGUGGGAGGGCCCGAGUUGGCUUCCUGGACCCUGUGUCCCACCCAAGUCCAAUCCCCAGAGAGAAGGCCUGAGGAAAACCCCCGUGCCUCAAAGGAUGCAGGCUCUUCAAGGUGUGGCAGGGGAAGGGACAGGAGAGGGCCGUCAACCUGAGCUUAUUUGGUGCCAUGAAACAGUCUUUCAUGUUCAAGCAGCUGGUGGCUCGGGGAAGGCCUGUGGCUUGACUAGACUCAUGCGGGCGGAUGGGUGGACAGGCGGAGCUAGGACCCAAACCGGCGCUUGUUGGACGCCGACAUCUCUGCAGCGGGAGCCCACUUGGAGGCCCAAUGUGACUGUCGGGUGUGAGAGACCUAUUUGAGCAGAGCCAAACUGAAACAGUCACGUUAUUAAGUGGGACUUGGUCUGGCCACUUCCAGAAGGUUCAGGGGAAGGAGCAUCUGUGGAAGUCCCACGUCUCUCCUCAAAGCCCAGACUCCCCCUAGGGAGACAGCAAAGCUCAGUCCCCUGCUCGCCCGGCCUCUGCUGAGAGCCCCAGGCGCCCACAGCCGCGUGCACGAUUCCGGCCCUCUCUGUCCACCGCCUGCUCUCUAGAUCAACUUCAAAUCCACUCGCUUUUUCAUUUGCCCCAGAGAUAAGAUGGUGCUUGGCCUGCAGCAGGUGCUCUGUAAGUCUGUCGAAUGAUUGAAUUCAUGAAUGAAUGACAAGCCUGAAGCCCUGCAAGGACUCACGGAAUGCUUCACAGCUCCUGACUCCACCUGGCUGCUCACAGGUGAGCACAUGAGGACUCAGGAAAGAAAGGAGCCUGUCUGGAUCCCAGAGCUGCCCAUCCACCCGGGGGCUGUCUCGAAGUCCCUCCCGGCCCUGGGGAAGCUGCAGAUCCUCAAGAUUCUACUCUGGAUCAUUUUGAAAGAAGCUUCUGCUCCCUCUGCCCUGGGCCUCCUCGUGCUCAAAGUUUACGCUCUGUGGGGUGAAGGGGUAGCAGUGGGGAAAGAAACUGCACCAACUACACUGCAGGGGCCCUCGGCAAGUGUGCAACCUCUGUGGGUCUCAGUUUACUCAGCUGGAAAAGGGGUGUGGUUCCUUCUCGGGGUAGUUAUGAGGGGCCCUCGACCUUCCAUCCCCACCGGGGCCUGGGGCUGGGCUAAUGCCCAGGGGAGUGAAAGAACUUCCCUCCCAUGGCUGAAGCUGCCCUUGUAGGCAGCUUCGGGGAAACCCCUGAGGUUCUCUGGGCCCCGGUUGGGCCUCUGUGCCAUCCAAGCAGUGAGGAGAGGUUACAGAAAACAGUUGCGAGAAACAUCAAACACACCGAUGAGAGCCCCAGAGACCCUGCCCCAGCCGGCUGCCCUGACCAUCAGCGGCCCCUCACAGGUUUCUCAGGCGGCUGCAAACUUCUCCCUUCCCCAGGCUAUCUGCUUGGU